RNAcentral lists this long non-coding RNA (245 nucleotides) under Actinidia chinensis (golden kiwifruit). Its description in RNAcentral is "long non-coding RNA (ACHI_LNC000756)". The record is from RNAcentral. Lineage: Eukaryota; Viridiplantae; Streptophyta; Magnoliopsida; Ericales; Actinidiaceae.
CAUUUUUACCCCCCAAACUCUAUAUAAGGUCUAAUUUUGGGGGUAAAACGGUAAAUGGAUAAUAAAUGACCGAAAUACCCAACAUCUAAAUUUUGGGAUAUGUUGGUCAAAUGAGCCCACAAAUAUUUUUAAAAAUAUCUCUAAUCCUCCAUAUACUUCUUUCUCACUCAAUUCUUACUCAAUCUAUCAAUUUUCUACUAAACUACUACCAGUGUUCUAAAAAGUAGCCCAGACGGGAGUCUCCU